This 25-nucleotide transfer RNA is filed under the name Manis sp. LCT-2010. RNAcentral's name for it is "partial tRNA-Phe". Lineage: Eukaryota; Metazoa; Chordata; Mammalia; Pholidota; Manidae. The record is from RNAcentral.
UUAAGGUUAAUGUAGCUUAAAACCA